RNAcentral lists this ribosomal RNA (435 nucleotides) under uncultured bacterium. Its description in RNAcentral is "bacterial SSU rRNA". It matches the Rfam family "Bacterial small subunit ribosomal RNA", at positions 341 to 792 of the family's 1533-position model. The record is from RNAcentral.
ACGGGAGGCAGCAGUGGGGAAUAUUGCACAAUGGGGGAAACCCUGAUGCAGCAACGCCGCGUGAAGGAAGACGGUUUUCGGAUUGUAAACUUCUGUUCUUAGUGAAGAAUUCUGACGGUAGCUAAGGAGCAAGCCACGGCUAACUACGUGCCAGCAGCCGCGGUAAUACGUAGGUGGCAAGCGUUGUCCGGAAUUACUGGGUGUAAAGGGAGCGCAGGCGGGAGAUCAAGUCGGCUGUGAAAACUACAGGCUUAACUUGUAGACUGCGGUCGAAACUGGUUUUCUUGAGUGAAGUAGAGGCAGGCGGAAUUCCGAGUGUAGCGGUGAAAUGCGUAGAUAUUCGGAGGAACACCGGUGGCGAAGGCGGCCUGCUGGGCUUUAACUGACGCUGAGGCUCGAAAGUGUGGGGAGCAAACAGGAUUAGAUACCCUGGUA